GACGAACGCUGGCGGCGUGCUUAACACAUACAAGUCGAACGGAAAGGCCCCUUCGGGGGUACUCGAGUGGCGAACAGGUGAGUAACACGUGAGUAACCUGCCCUUGACUUCGGGAUAACUUCAGGAAACUGGGGCUAAUACCGGAUAGGAGUCCUUGCUGCAUGGUGGGGGUUGGAAAGCUUCGGCGGUUUUGGAUGGACUCGCGGCUUAUCAGCUUGUUGGUGGGGUAGUGGCUUACCAAGGCUUUGACGGGUAGCCGGCCUGAGAGGGCGACCGGCCACAUUGGGACUGAGAUACGGCCCAGACUCCUACGGGAGGCAGCAGUGGGGAAUAUUGCACAAUGGGCGGAAGCCUGAUGCAGCAACGCCGCGUGCGGGAUGACGGCCUUCGGGUUGUAAACCGCUUUCAGCAGGGGCGAAGCUUGUGGUGACGGUACCUGCAGAAGAAGCACCGGCUAACUACGUG
RNAcentral lists this ribosomal RNA (465 nucleotides) under uncultured bacterium. RNAcentral describes it as "partial 16S ribosomal RNA". It matches the Rfam family "Bacterial small subunit ribosomal RNA", at positions 28 to 507 of the family's 1533-position model. The record is from RNAcentral.